AUGGGGGAGGGGGUGGUUGAAGGGUGGAGGACCCGCUUACCUUGCUCUCGAGCAGCGGCUGUUGGACAGAAGUGGGUGCGGGACCCUGCAAGUGCCUGCGGGGUUGGGGAAAAAGAGGAUUCGGGGAUCCCGGUGCCCCGCACGAAUAAGGGGGCGCCCACCCCAUCCCGACCGCCGAGUUUGCGCCCCUCCUCAGACAAUGUGAGAGACCGACAAACUUUUGAAUGGAUUAAAAUCCAGAGGAGCCCCGCCGGAACAGCCCCUUGUAGGCUUGCUGUGCCACUGUCCAGAAGUGACUCUACCUCUCUGUUCUUCCGGCACCACAAGAUGGAGCUGGAGUUGGUUCCCAAACCAUGGGAAGAACAGGAGAGGGAAUUCAAGAACCAGAUUUCUGGCCAAAGAACAGACAGUUAUCAGAGAAAUUGUGAAUGGGAUUGCACUGAGAACGAUGAGUCCUGA
Molecule: long non-coding RNA, 459 nt
Organism: Bos indicus x Bos taurus (hybrid cattle)
Lineage: Eukaryota; Metazoa; Chordata; Mammalia; Artiodactyla; Bovidae
Source: Ensembl